This 497-nucleotide ribosomal RNA is filed under the name uncultured bacterium. Its description in RNAcentral is "partial 16S ribosomal RNA". It matches the Rfam family "Bacterial small subunit ribosomal RNA", at positions 28 to 507 of the family's 1533-position model. The record is from RNAcentral.
GAUGAACGCUGGCGGCGUGCCUAAUACAUGCAAGUCGAGCGAACAGACCAUGAUCUUGCUCCUCUCACGUUAGCGGAAGACGGGUGAGUAACACGUGUAUAACCUACCUAUAAGACUGAGAUAACCUCGAGAAACGGGAUCAAAUACCGUAGAAGAUCUUGAAGCGCAUGGUGCAAUGGAGAAAUACGGUUUUUGUGGCUCUACUAGAUGGAUCUGCGCCGCAUUAGCUAGUUGGUAAGGUAAAGGCUUACCAAGGCAACCAUGCGUAGCCGACCUGAGAGGGGGAUAGGCCACACUGGAACUGGGACACGGUCCAGAGUCCUAAGGGAGGCAGCAGUAGGGAAUCGUACGCAAUGGGCGAAAGCCUGACGGAGCGACGCCGAGUGAGUGAUGAAGGUGUUCGGUUCGUAAAACUCUGUUAUUAGGGAAGAACAAAUGUGUAAGUAAAUAUGCACGUCUUGACGGUACCUAAUCAGAAAGCCACGGCUAACUACGUG